CCUUAGUGGUAUAGAAUAAUACUAGAAGAGAAUGCUGAUAUUUAUGCUCUCAAUAUCAUUAAGAGAAGAUUCAACUUAGAGGUUAAAGAUGUAAAUUACUCUGAUAGAGAAUAUUAUAAGUAUACAUAUCAAAGUGUGGAUGCUAGCUACAAAGAUUUGCAAGCAGAGCACCAAUAGCUAAGAUGGGAAUAUAAUUUAUUAAGGAAUAAGCAUCAGAGA
Molecule: long non-coding RNA, 219 nt
Filed under: Elaeis guineensis (African oil palm)
Lineage: Eukaryota; Viridiplantae; Streptophyta; Magnoliopsida; Arecales; Arecaceae
Description: long non-coding RNA (EGUI_LNC034967)
Source: RNAcentral